AAUAAAAAUGUAUCUGACGAAUAAGUAUUGAUCGUUGGAUAAGAGACUUAAAACAAUAAUAAUACAGGUUUAAUGUUAAAAAGAACAAUCUAAAAAUGUAUUUGUUUAUAUUCACAUUACCACAAUACCCUCUCGUUUAGUCAUCCGCUUUUCCACCUAGUAACCGAAAAAACUGUGAACUGUAUACAAUUUACAAAAAGCCCCGAUUUUUGUUUAGCUCGGAAUAUAAUAAUAUGUUCACUAUUUAAAUUUAGUUAGCCAUUUGUAUUUACAUAUUUUUCAUUUUAACUUU
Cinara cedri is the source of this 292-nucleotide non-coding RNA. Lineage: Eukaryota; Metazoa; Arthropoda; Insecta; Hemiptera; Aphididae. The record is from the annotation of a GenBank genome assembly.